GUUCUAGGGCAGCGCGUGAGCGCUGCCCUCCGAAGGCAGAGGUCACAGGUUCGAAUCCUGUCCGGUGCGCCA
RNAcentral lists this transfer RNA (72 nucleotides) under Mesorhizobium sp. L-8-3. RNAcentral's name for it is "tRNA-Arg". It matches the Rfam family "tRNA", at positions 18 to 71 of the family's 71-position model. Rfam says of the family: Transfer RNA (tRNA) molecules are approximately 80 nucleotides in length. Their secondary structure includes four short double-helical elements and three loops (D, anti-codon, and T loops). The record is from RNAcentral. Lineage: Bacteria; Pseudomonadati; Pseudomonadota; Alphaproteobacteria; Hyphomicrobiales; Phyllobacteriaceae.